RNAcentral lists this ribosomal RNA (198 nucleotides) under uncultured bacterium. RNAcentral's name for it is "partial 16S ribosomal RNA". It matches the Rfam family "Bacterial small subunit ribosomal RNA", at positions 328 to 539 of the family's 1533-position model. The record is from RNAcentral.
ACGCUCGACACCUACGGGAGGCAGCAGUGGGGAAUAUUGCACAAUGGGGGAAACCCUGAUGCAGCGACGCCGCGUGAGCGAAGAAGUAUCUCGGUAUGUAAAGCUCUAUCAGCAGGGAAGAAGAUGACGGUACCUGACUAAGAAGCACCGGCUAAAUACGUGCCAUCAGCCGCGGUAAUCUGAGCGGGCUGGCAAGGC